UGAUAACCCCUGUAGCAGAACUUCCACUGU
This 30-nucleotide non-coding RNA is filed under the name Rattus norvegicus (Norway rat). The record is from RNAcentral. Lineage: Eukaryota; Metazoa; Chordata; Mammalia; Rodentia; Muridae.